GAUGAACGCUGGCGGCGUGCCUAAUACAUGCAAGUCGAGCGAACAGACGAGGAGCUUGCUCCUCUGACGUUAGCGGCGGAUGGGUGAGUAACACGUGGAUAACCUACCUAUAAGACUGGGAUAACUUCGGGAAACCGGAGCUAAUACCGGAUAACAUGUUGAACCGCAUGGUUCAACAGUGAAAGACGGUCUUGCUGUCACUUAUAGAUGGAUCCGCGCCGCAUUAGCUAGUUGGUAAGGUAACGGCUUACCAAGGCAACGAUGCGUAGCCGACCUGAGAGGGUGAUCGGCCACACUGGAACUGAAACACGGUCCAGACUCCUACGGGAGGCAGCAGUAGGGAAUCUUCCGCAAUGGGCGAAAGCCUGACGGAGCAACGCCGCGUGAGUGAAGAAGGUCUUCGGAUCGUAAAACUCUGUUAUUAGGGAAGAACAAAUGUGUAAGUAACUAUGCACGUCUUGACGGUACCUAAUCAGAAAGCCACGGCUAACUACGUG
Molecule: ribosomal RNA, 497 nt
Filed under: uncultured bacterium
Lineage: Bacteria
Description: partial 16S ribosomal RNA
Rfam family: Bacterial small subunit ribosomal RNA
Source: RNAcentral